CCUAAAGCUUAGUAGUAACAUUUCCUUGAAAUGAACUAAGCCAGGAAUAUAACGUGCACCGGAGCAUGUUAUCUUCAGAGAGUUGUGAAAAUGGAGUCCUUGUCAGCAGCAAACACAGAAUUCUCUCUCAAUCUGUUCAAGAAGAUCGGUUCUGUGUCUUAACGAAGAGGAGGAUCAUCAUUCCAGCUACAACCAGCUCACGAGUGACUUGAACAAACCAGGAGACUCGUGCACGCUGAGUAUUGCCAAUCGUCUCUAUGGAGAGAAAUCC
Long non-coding RNA from Triplophysa rosa, 271 nucleotides. RefSeq lists it as uncharacterized. Lineage: Eukaryota; Metazoa; Chordata; Actinopteri; Cypriniformes; Nemacheilidae. The record is from RefSeq and is a predicted model, not a curated record. The transcript has 3 exons.